Molecule: ribosomal RNA, 447 nt
Filed under: uncultured bacterium
Lineage: Bacteria
Description: SSU rRNA
Rfam family: Bacterial small subunit ribosomal RNA
Source: RNAcentral
AGAACGAACGCUGGCGGCAGGCUUAACACAUGCAAGUCGAACGCUCGUAGCAAUACGGGAGUGGCAGACGGGUGAGUAACGCGUGGGAACAUACCCUCCGGUUCGGAAUAGCUCAGGGAAACUUGGAUUAAUACCGGAUACGGCUGAGAGGCGAAAGAUUUAUCGCCGGAGGAUUGGCCCGCGUUCGAUUAGCUUGUUGGUGAGGUAACGGCUCACCAAGGCGAUGAUCGAUAGCUGGUCUGAGAGGAUGAUCAGCCACAUUGGGACUGAGACACGGCCCAAACUCCUACGGGAGGCAGCAGUGGGAAUAUUGGACAAUGGGCGCAAGCCUGAUCCAGCCAUGCCGCGUGAGUGAUGACGGCCUUAGGGUUGUAAAGCUCUUUCGCGUCGGGACGAUAAUGACGGUACCGAGAUAAGACGCCCGGCUAACUUCGCGCCAGCAGCCGC